This 4533-nucleotide ribosomal RNA is filed under the name Triticum aestivum (bread wheat). Its description in RNAcentral is "partial small subunit ribosomal RNA". The record is from RNAcentral. Lineage: Eukaryota; Viridiplantae; Streptophyta; Magnoliopsida; Poales; Poaceae.
AUGAAGGGCAACUUCAAUCUAACGAAUCAACAAAUGCUGGACUCGAUAUUGAAAAGAUCGUGUACCUGCCUAUAUUGCCAAGCGUUAAGGGCAAAUUCAAACUAUCAACCAGCACAAGUGACAGAAUCAUCAGUUAUAGACAGUGCAAUAAUGGCUGACCGGAUGAUGAAACGAAGACGACGGGAUGAAUUAACAAGAACAGCACGAAUGAAGAGGAAAGCACAAAUUCAACUCAAGAAGAGCAGCAAACGUGCUAGAACCAAUAACAGUGAAAUAGGCAAGGAUGAUAAUUCCAAUGCCAUUAAGAUAUGGAACUUUGGGGGGCCAACAUACAUCUGCGAACACUGCCAUGCACUUAUGUGGCAUGAAGAAAGACUACAAUCUUAUGGAUGUAGAAAGCCAACCUUUGGGAUAUGCUGCAAACGAGGACAGGUUAUCUUGCCACCAUUGAAAGAACCGCCACCAUACCUUACGAGUUUGUUGACAAGAGAUGGAGGAAAAAGAUCAGCAAACUACCGAAAAAACAUUAGGUCUUACAACUCCAUGUUUGCAUUCACAUCAAUGGGGGGAACUCUAGAUAAGCAAAUAAAUAAAGAGCGUGGACCUUAUGUUUUCCGACUGAAUGGCCAGAACCGCCACCAGAUAGGCACCCUGCUACCUCAAGAAGGAAAUAAGCCUCGUUUCCAGCAGUUGUAUAUCUAUGACACGAAUAAUGAGAUCCAGAACAGGGUAGAAGCAUCAAGAUCUGGUGAACGUGAUGCCUCACUAGAUGAAACAAUUGUCAGUGGCCUACAGAGCAUGCUCGACGAGAAUAACACACUAGCACAAUCAUUCCGAAUGGCAAGAGAUAGAUUUAAAGAAGAUGACUACAACAACUUCACUCUAAGUUUACUUGGCAACAGGGAUCAAGAUGGGAGACAAGAUAACAUGCCAUCAACAUCGGAAGUUGCUGCACUGAUGGUCAAAGAUCCAACCCAAAAACAUUAUGGGCGUGACAUUGUUCUCGAGUACAAAGAUAUGAAACCUAAAAGGAUUUCAGAAAUCCAUCCAAAAUUCAUGGCCAUGCAAUACCCGUUGCUCUUCCCAUAUGGAGAAGAUGGUUAUAGACUUGGAAUCAAAUACAACAAAAAUAAAGGUGUGAGUAACAAGAAAUAUAUCACCAUGCUGGAAUACUAUGCAUAUUAUCUCCAACAGCGCCCAGGUCAGUCAAUGUUGCUGCUAACAUGUGGAAAUCUAUCAAUGCAGUUCGUGGUAGAUGUCUAUACAUGCAUCGAACAGUGUAGACUCAGUUGGAUCAGAAAAAAUCAAGGAAAAUUAAGAACAGAACUUUAUGAUGGACUACAGGACGCACUCAGAAAAGGAGACACACUGACAGAGCAAGUAGGGAGGAGAAUAGUACUCCCAGCAAGUUUCACAGGAAGUCCUCGAAACAUAGAGCAGAACUACCAAGAUGCGAUGGCAAUAUGCCGUUGGGCUGGACAUCCUGACUUGUUCGUAACAUUCACAUGCAACCCUAAUUGGCCUGAGAUUCAGUUGAUGCUAAAUGAAGCAGGGAACCAGAAACCAGCAGAACGACCUGAUAUUGCAGUUCGAGUGUUCAUGAUAAAACUAAAAGAGCUCAUGUUUGAUAUUAAAAGUAAACAACAAUUUGGAAAGACUAAAGCAAUCAUCUUCACAAUAGAAUUCCAGAAGAGAGGACUCCCACAUGCCCAUAUACUAAUAUUCCUUGACGGAAAAGAGAAAGGGAAGCGUCUCAAGCCCUCACAAACAGAUGAAAUUAUAUGCGCUGAAAUCCCAGACAAGGACAAGGAUCCAGAAACAUUUGAAGCUGUCAAGAAUUUUAUGAUGCACGGACCAUGUGGAGAAGCAAAUCCAAAGUCACCCUGCAUGGAAAAACAUAUGUGCAGUAACUACUUUCCAAAAGAAUUCUGUGACGAGACGAUCGUUGAUGAAGACAACUUCCCGAGGUACAGGAGACGAGAUAAUGGCCGCCAGAUAGAUAAGGGAGGAGUCAAGUUGAACAAUGGAUCUGUUGUACCAUACAACAAAGAUCUCCUGGUAAAAUUCCAAGCACACAUAAAUGUGGAGUUGUGUAAUCGAUAUAUGUCAAUCAAAUACCUCUUUAAGGAUAUCCGUCAAGGAGAUAACCAAGCAACAGCACUGGUUGAAGAAACAGACCAAUCAAAACACAAUGAUGAGAUUAAAAUGUACCUUAGAUGCAGAUACAUAACAGCAACUGAAGCAUGCUGGCGAAUAUUCAAGUUUCCUCUACAGUACCAGCAACCAUCUGUUCAGAGGCUAAUGUUCCAUGAGGAGAACAAGCAACAAGUCAUUUUUCCUGACUCAACAAACCUAGAAGAAAUAAUACAGCGGCCAAGAUCAAGUAUCACUAUGUUUACUGAGUGGAUGGAGACAAAUAAAAAACACAAAGAUGCGAGAGAAUUAACAUAUUUGGAGUUUCCUACAAGAUGGACAUGGGAUAGGACAAAACAGAAGUGGACAAGGCGGAGAGCAGGAAGGAACAUCGGCAGGAUAUACAAUGCUCAUCCUGCAAGCGGAGAAAGGUACUAUCUCAGAGUUCUCCUCAACACUGCAAAGGGUUGCAUGACAUUUGAAGAUAUCAGGACUGUCAACGGAAUCGUGCACUCAUCAUACAAAUCAGCAUGUCAUGCGCUAGGAUUUCUUGAGGAUGACAAGGAGUGGACUGAGUGCAUCAAGGAAGCAUCAGAAUGGGCAUCUGGGGUGCAACUACGCCAAUUGUUUGCAACUAUUUUGUGCUAUUGUGAGGUUACUGACUCAGGGAUGUUAUGGGAAUCCAACUGGGAGAAACUCUCUAAAGACAUACAGCACACACCAAGCUGGAUUACAAACUUUCCACACCCCUUCACUCCUUCACACAACAGAAAAUGCACUUUAACAGAAAUUGAGAAGCAAAUGGGACAAGCUGGAAGAUCACUAAAGGAUUACCCUGGAAUAGAGAUACCAAACAUGUCUGAGUUAAAUGAAAUAGAGAACAGGCUUAUAAAUGAAGAAAUGAACUACGAUAAAGACAAGUUGAAGGCUGAACACGUGCAAAUAGUGGAAAAUCUAAAUUUAGGUCAGAAGAAGGCCUUCGAUGCAAUAAUAGAAUCAGCAGAUCAAUCAUUAGGGAAGAUAAUAUUCGUGGAUGGCUAUGCCGGGACAGGUAAGACAUACCUUUGGAAAGCUAUCACUACAAGGCUAAGAUCGGAGGGGAAAAUCGUACUCGCAGUUGCAUCUUCUGGCAUCGCAGCGCUUCUGCUUCAAGGAGGUAGAACAGCACACUCAGCAUUCAAUAUUCCAAUCAACCUGACAGGUCAAUCUACAUGCUACAUCAAACAAGGUUCCGAGGUGGCUAAUCUAUUAGUGAAGACGUCACUAAUACUAUGGGACGAAGCUCCAAUGGCAAACAAAAAAUGCUUCGAAGCACUUGACAAGAGCCUAAGAGAUGUGCUCAGGUUCACCAAUGAGAAUAGUUGCAACAAGCCCUUCGGCGGCAUGACAGUUGUUCUAGGAGGGGACUUCCGACAAAUCCUCCCUGUUGUGCCAAAGGGAAGAAGGGAGCACACUAUAAGUGCGUCAAUCAAAUGCUCAUACCUCUGGCAACAUUUCAAGGUAUUCAACCUUACUAAAAACAUGCGGCUCAAUUCUCUGUGCAAUGAUCAAGCAGAGAAGCAGAAGACUGCGGAAUUUGCAGAAUGGAUACUACAGAUCGGUAAUGGAGACGCAUGUUUAUUAGAUGAAAAGGAGUAUGUAAGUAUCCCCAGUGACCUGCUGCUACAAAACGGAGAUGAUCCGAAAACAAAAAUCAUCCAAAGUACCUAUCCUGACCUCCAAGACAAUUUCUGCACACGGAAGUUCCUGGAAGAAAGGGCGAUAUUGUGUCCAAUGAACAAGACUGUCGAAGAGAUCAAUGAGAAUAUUAUGGGUCAAAUCCAAGGUGACAGGGUGACAUACCUGAGCUGUGACAGUGUGAGCAGAUCGAUGUCUUACAACAAUGAAAUGGAAUUGUUGUAUACUACAGAGUUUCUAAACAAGUUAAAGCACCCAGGAUGUCCAGAUCACCUACUUGAGCUCAAAGUCGGUCUGCCAGUGAUGCUUCUCCGCAACAUCAAUCAAAGCGCAGGGCUAUGUAACGGUACUAGAAUGACAAUCACAAAACUUGGAAAAAGAGUCAUCGAAGCGCAGAUCAUAACUGGAGCGCACGUCGGUAGUAAGGUAUGCAUCCCUCGGAUGACCACAGUGACAUUCGAGCCUAAAUGGCCAUUUGUACUACAAAGAAAGCAAUAUCCUCUGUCCGUGUGCUUCGCAAUGACAAUCAACAAGAGCCAGGGACAAUCUUUGAAUAAGGUCGGCCUCUACUUGCCCAGGCAAGUUUUCACUCAUGGGCAACUCUAUGUGGCGGUCUCCAGAGUAACAAACAGGCAUGGCCUGAAGAUCCUGAUCGCCGGCGACGAUGAAGAACACGCAAGCAAAGGGAUGGCGAAGAACAUAGUGUACAAGGAGAUCUUCUGA